CAGAAAAGCCCGCCCCUAGCGGCCACCAGAGAGGAGCUGGAAUCCCGGGAGUCCCGGGAAGGACCCUUGAAGGUCCUUGCGCUCCCGGCGCCAGGGGCCCCGCGUACUCACGCUGUCUUCAGCGACAAGAUGAUGAGACGCGCUCGCGCCCGCACCCUGCAUGCAAAUGCUGUCUCCAACGACAAGAUGGUGAGCCGCGCUCGCGCCCCCACCCUUCAUGCAAACCCUGUCUCCGAUGACAAGAUGGUGAGCCGCACUCGCUUCCCCCUCUCCUACUAGUGAUUUGAAGUUAACCGGUGCCUAAUGAUUUGAAGUUACUGACAAUCUUUGAUCUAGUCAUGUGAAUUAGUACUAGUGCUUACUGAAUUACCUGAUGAGUAUGUGCAAGAACUACGUGGUCUGUAUAUUCCCUUGGACUUUCUAAUCGCUGGGUUCUCUUGUGGCAGAUGGACGGGAAAAAUGAGAUGGCGCCGGUCCAGGGGGUGCCGCCCAUGCGGGGAAGCAUCGCGGCUUCAAGCUCGGUUGGUAAGUACUCCAAACUGGUUUUUCUGUCAGUAUCACGGCUGUUUUUUGUCAUCAUUAGUAUAAUGAUAUUGGACUGAAGCUCGUCAACUCUUUCGAUGCUGUAUUUUUGGCAUCAUUAGUAUACUGAUAUUGGACUAAAGUUGGUUAGCUCUUUCCAUGCUGGACUUUUGGCAUCAUUAGUAUACUUAUAUUGGACUGAAGCUUGUUAGCUCUGUCCAUGCUCCGUUUUUUAUCAUCAUUAGUAUAGUGAUAUAUUGGACUGAAGCUGCACAUGUUUUGUUUCCAUUAACGUUGGUCUAGCAGUGCUACGCGUCAGUCGGCCGAUCGUAGCCGCCAUAGAAGCCUUAUUUUAAUCAAGUUCCACCCGUCACUGCAUAUAUUAACGUUGGUUUUGUCACUAGCUGCGUAUACAAACGCGAGCACCGGCACUGUGUGGCAGCAUGGAAGACAUAUGAACUGUGAUACGAAACAUAAGAAACAUGCAAUGGCUAGAAACAUCUCCGUACAAAAAAAAUUGGCAUGUUAUAGGUGUCAACAAAAUUAGUCGGCUUGCCAGCCGUCGGAUCUGACACGUGAAGCAUUGGAUCACACCACGCGGCAGCAGAGAGAGUGGAACCCGUCUUCCUCCAUAGCCUCCACAAAACUUGUUUAUCCCCCACCGCUCCCCCAUCGUUGCAAAAGAUUAUUAUGUUGUUGCCGCGGCCUUCCUCUUCCUCUCGCUCAGCAGCACCUCCCUCUCGUCCUUUCUAACACAGCAAAGAAGAAGGAGGAGGAAGAAGAAGGACGCAAGGACACAAGUGGUUUUGCCGGAGCACGAACUCCGCCCGCCGCACGAACGGCGUCCUUUUCUUUCCCUGAGCCCGAACUCAGUACAAUCCGCAAGCUACAACAGAGGAGAGAGCUGGCCUUAUACCCGCGCGCACGCACGCGCUACGCCACGCUCUGCACGCAUGCACACCCCACGUCCCGCGCUUCCAGACCCACUCACCCGACGCGCACGUACGCAGUCGCCGUAGGCCGAUUCCAGCGCCCCGACGUGGUCGCCACUCCGUUUCUGUUGCCUACACACAACGGCCCACGCGCUCGAACGCGAGGACACACACGCACGCACAGACACACACACACAUGCACGGCCACGGACCCGGCGCGUCCUGGCUCGCACCCGACGCAUCCUGCGGUGGCUUAUGCCCAACACUCACUCCCCUAAGCCACGAACUACAGCAGGUGAGUCCAUCGUCGUCGAUGUCGCCAUGGCCGUCGCACCGCACCGCUGCGGCCUCCGCCGUGCCGUCGACGUCGUUGUAGCCACCGCCGCCCUAACGUCGUUGCCACGCCUGCCACCGUGCCACCGUGCCCUUCGCGUGCACUCCCCACGUCCCCGCGCUCCCGGCCCUCGCUCCCGCCGCGCACGUACGUGGUCUGCGCAACCAGGUCCAGCGCCUCAAUGCGGUCCACUCCCGCGGUCCCGACGCAUCCGGUGCGCACCCAUAACACGCACCGGUCACGCCCGGCUCGCCGCCGCGCUUAUUGCCCUGCACCGCUGCGCCGUCAACCGCAGCGUAGCGCCUCCACGGUCGUCGCGCCGGGCCGCCGCAGCCUCUGCGACACCACGCAGGUCCUCCGCGACCUCCUCGUCUCCGCGACCGCCGCUGCUCGCCACGCGCACGGCAUCACGCCACACCGCCGUGGACUCGCCACGCGUUGCCGACGCCACGCGCUCGCCGCGCGCCCGGCAUCACGACACACCACCGUGGACUCGCCGCGCGUUGCCGAGACCUUCAUGUCCGCCGCGCGCGCCGCGAACGCCGCCGCGCGCUACGGCCGCCCCCCGAACCUGUGGCUCUGAAUACCAAUUGUUGUUGCCGCGGCCUUCCUCUUCCUCUCGCUCAGCAGCACCUCCCUCUCGUCCUUUCUAACACAGCAAAGAAGAAGGAGGAGGAAGAAGAAGGACGCAUGGACACAAGUGGUUUUGCCGGAGCACGAACUCUGCCCGCCGCACGAACGGCGUCCUUUUCUUUCCCUGAGCCCGAACUCAGUACAAUCCGCAAGCUACAACAGAGGAGAGAGCUGGCCUUAUACCCGCGUGCACGCACGCGCUACGCCACGCUCUGCACGCAUGCACACCCCACGUCCCGCGCUUCCAGACCCACUCACCCGACACGCACGUACGCAGUCGCCGUAGGCCGAUUCCAGCGCCCCGACGUGGUCGCCACUCCGUUUCUGUCGCCUACACACAACGGCCCACGCGCUCGAACGCGAGGACACACACACACGCACAGACACACACACAUGCACGGCCACGGACCCGGCGCGUCCUGGCUCGCACCCGAUGCGUCCUGCGGUGGCUUAUGCCCAACAAUUACGUCAGCCCCUCGCAGCACCUCACGUCCAUGCUCUGGCGCAUCCCUGAUGUCGCCUGGUAUCAUGCAAGCACUAUUACAGACGGCGUGCCGGCGAGGAACAUUGUCUUACAACCAAGGUAGUUGCAUUGAUGCGACCACAAGCCUCACCCCCUUGUUGCAUGGGUCGUGGCUUGUGGCACUGGUCGUCGGCUAAAACACCCCCCGUGAGAACCUGCAGUUGCACCACUGCGACAACCCCGUGGGUCUAUGCAUGGUGGAAAUAGAGCGAAUGGAUAUGGUGAAGAGAGAGGAAUACAAGUGAGGGGCAUCUGGCGCUAGAGCGAGCUGACUCAUUUCCUCCUAAACCAGUCUGUUGAAUAUUUCCAUUUUCUUUUGAGAAACCUCAUAAAAACGUUGCAACAUGCGAGCAUGUCUAUACAAAAAAAAGUAGAUAUAGAACACAUACUCAUUAACUGCAAGAAAUCAGUGAAAAACCACAAUGUAUACACGCCUGAACCAAUGGAUCAUUGGCAUGCAUCUUCCAACUCUUCCUAGGUUACGCCCACCCGCGAACCGUUCAAUUCUGUCACAGAUCAUUGCCAAAUCAACCACCAACUUGGUUCCUGCUCUCGUCUCCUCUCCCCAUCCUUUGCAACAUACACCCAUGUUUCUCAGCAAUAGACUCACUUGGAGGCCACAAUGGUGGCCAUGGUAGGCUAGUGAAAAGCACAAUGGUGGUCGGCCUUACAACACUAAACACGACAUUAAUUGCAACACGUGAUAACCCCAAAUUUGUAGCACCGGUGCACCGUUUUGCGGCAAAGUAAAAAAUGCCAAUGACCUGCCAUGCUGCAUCGAUGCCUUGGUCUUGCAGCAUUGUCAACCACCUUGUAGCAAUGAAAAGUUCACUGACCACUAGCUUUGCAGCAUCACGUGACCGGCUUCUAGCACUGAACGCCCGGGCUAGCAGCACUGCGAUCAGUGAUGGUCGGCCUUGCAACAGUAUUGGUUGACAUUGCACACCUCAUCUCCAUUUUUAUGUACAUACACAUGAGUGAACUUGGAACAUCAGUAACGUAUCAACAUUAGCAAUAUUGAUGAUGAUGAAAUUUGUUUCCCCAAGUAUCAACAUUACUGAAUAAGCGAGCAACUGCACAUCCACCCCAUGAGCCAUACUUUUUGAGCCCUACCACAACCGAUUAUAGUUGGAAAAGAGCUGACAACGAUAGUUAAAAAUGUACAUGAUCACAAUAGAUUAAAUGGCAGGGAGGGUGGACUGCAUGUGUGGAAUCAGGCUUGUCGCGUGGUCACAAGUGCCUUAUCUGACUAGCCAACAAGACAGAAGGAGGCCGCCUGGGCUCUCACUCCUGAAGCUAAGCAUAACUCCAACUCCAGACACACUCGGGGGCUACUGAAGGUGCAAUACACUAGGGGUGUCCUCUAAGUGGGAAGCCCGGUAGCAGGCCUAUCUCAAGGCCCAAGAGGCCAAGUGGAGGAUCAGCGCACUAGGGCAGCUCAUGAGCCCGGAUAAGGAUCGGGAGAGCAUCUGGGCGUGCAAGCUAACAUGGCGACGGUAUGAGAUCUAGUGGAUUCCUUGUAAUCCCUAGCCCUCGUCACCUAUAUAAGGCAGGGCAAGGGGUUAUCAUUCACAUAUACUCUCAUAGACUAUACUCUCGGUGGCCUUAUACUUCAUCUCCGUUGUAAAUCCUAUUAUGGGUACUAACAGUUUUACAUAUUGUCGCAUAGUUUUGUUCCGACACAUUUUCUCUAGGAGUUGAAAGCAACUCAUGGUGUAAGUAUCUGUUGCUGGAAGCACUGAUUUUACUAGCACCGCCUUUCCCGCCUUCGAGAUACCUUGUCCUUCCUAUCCAAUCACUUUGCCAUUUGAGUUUUCUCUAACGUAUUUAAAAUUUGCUUCCGUUGACCUACCCACCACGGCUGCGAGCCCCAAAUAAUGCUCGCUCAAUGCCUUGGGAUCAAUGCAAAAAUAUUUUAAAAAAACUUUGUCCUCCUAUUUGCUUCCCUUUCCACAGAAAGUUGAGGCUUUUUGAAGAUUUACCAUUUGUCAUGUGGCCAACUCGUAGUCAAACAGGGUCUAUUUUAAGGUCACAACGUUGAUAUUUGAUGCUUGAAGAAAUACUACACUAUCAUCUGCAAACAUAAAAUGGGCUACAUGGGGGCCAGUGCUCCCAAAAUGUACACCAUUGAUCUCCUUAUCUUUGAGAAUUCAUGAGCAAUGCCAAAAAAUAAACAAAUGGGGGGAUUGUGGGUCUCCUUGUCAGAUCCCUCUUGAUAGUGUAAAAAUGACAGAGCAACCUCCAUUCAAUUUGACAGGCCUGCAUCAUGUCUAGUUUAAUAGCUAACAUUGGAUUUUUCUAUUUGUUGACCUGAUUGCAUGCACACACUCAUACGUGACCAACACAUUGUCUGUGAUAAGCCUACCCGGAAUAAAUAUACUUUGCUCCUCGCAGAUCAUUAUGGACAGGAGAACAUUCAAACCAUUCACUAGGCCUUUGAAGCAAUAUGACUGAGUGUGUUCUAUAAGCUGAUUGAUCCAAUUUGAGGAAGUAUAUCCAGUGAGUUAAUUUUUAGGAUCAAGACUAGAACCAUAUCACUGAAGUUUGCCGAUACAUCAUUUUUUAGCAACGACUAGUGAAAUUGGUAAACAUAGUCAAGAGGCUGUGUGGCCCAAUGCUUUUGUCGGUCUAAUUUAGAAUGGUGCAUUCUCAAUUUCUUCAUCCAUCACAUCCGCGUCCACCCUCAAGAAAACAACCAAGCAUAGAAAUCGGCCGACAUCUUCCCCAUCUCAUUGUCAGUAGUACAUCUCAUGCCAUCCGCGCUCAUGUUUUGUUCGUCUUCCUCGAGCAAUUCCAGUCGAGCAUGUUGCAUAUACAUUAUUUCUUCCCAUGCAUGAGCCAGAUGAAGCUACGCUUCAAUCUCGUGGAUCUCCACCAAGGAUCUGGAUCCCAAUGCUCUCUCCUUUCCAUUGAAGCUGAACUUGUGCCUAGUGAUGUCUAAACAUACGAAACAAAACACUGAGCCACUCCAAUGUUGCAUAUCAUUGGUGACAUUGUUAAGCUUCCUGUAUAACGUACUCUGGCCGAAAUUGUUGUCACAUGCACACUCCCACGCAUCCAUGGGGCAUCCGCCUCUCCUCAAAUGUUAACGCCCUCUUCUUCCUUGUGGUAAUGACCAAUUGGUCUAGCGUUCUAAUAAUGAGUGAAUCAUGGCCUGGUUCUCCGUGAGAACAUGUUCAAUGGAUGUAUCCUAGAAUGAGUGUAUGAAAUCAUCAUUGCAUGGACCCCUUCCCAGAUGUACCUAAAUGUUCUCAUCAUCAUCCCUUUUGUUGUCCCGUGUGUACUGGUAGCUAAUAAAACAGAGGUUUGAAAAGUUGUUAUUGGCUACGCUCUCCCUAAUGCGCUCCAUUUGUGUGAAACUCCUCAAGUAAUCUCCUGGUUGUUGUGAUUGAAAGAAUACUUUGUUGAGGUAUCACUGUCACAGAGAAAUUUAUUAUCAGGAUCUAGUCUCUCGAAACCUCCCUUAGCUACACAAAUUUGCUUCAAUCUCUCUUCCUAUCCAGUAGCUUUAGCUGAUAAUCCUUGUGAUGCCUUUGGUGAUCACCACCACCCUUCCUCGUCUUGUGAACAAAAGUGCCUCGUGUGUGCUGCCUGGAGGUAAAUGGGUCUUCUUUGCCCAGUCGCCUUGCACUCUUUCUUCCCACAUAGAAUUUUUUAUGUCCUCCUUCCUUUCAUGCUCCUUCCUCAGCUUCCACAUCCUUUUCAGUUGCAAAUCAUCCCUUAGUUCAUGUCACCAAUCUUGCUUGCAUUGGUCCUUCCUGGGUGUAUAAGCAUAGUAGCACUUGUGCCUAAAUGGGAGGUGGCGCAACGCUGCUUACCCCCUGUGAACAUAGAUGCACCUUCUUGACCUAGUGCUCCCAAAAUUAAAGUUCCCACUUUCUAUCACCAACUUCUACUAUGUUUCUGUGUGUGAGGAGCUAUGUUCGAGUGGUGCCCUCAACCAUUCACCCAACUAGGGUGAGGAAUCAACAUGUGGUUCAAAUCUUUCAUCAGCAUGUGCUGGUCUAACGCAGUCAAUCCAGAAGUGAUGUAUCUUCUCAAAUUGAAAAUCAAGACAGUCCCCUCAUCUUUCGCUGAAGAGUGGAGGAAGAAGCCUCGAACCAAUGAAACAAAUAUGAAAAUUCUAGCUCUAACUAUGAGAUGGUUCCCCCCAUAAAUCCAUCCUUCUCGAUAUCAAAUUUUACCACGUCACCAAGCCAAUUCCCGAGAGCAUUCCAAAAGUAGACAAUGGUUUAUAUAGGGGAAGAUCCUUAAUUAUCACCCAUGGCUCCGUCAUCCAAAACAUUAUCUUUGACGGCCUAGUUUUACCAUCACAAUUCUUUAAAACCAUCACACUAAAACCAAAUUUCCACGGUCCAUUAUAUAGAGCGUGAUUCUAAACUCCGUUUUGUCGAAUCUCAAGACGAAGAUAUUAUUGCCAAUGGCUUCCUAGUAGAGUCCCCAUGCCUGUUGCAUAGCCUUAGCAAACACGUUGAUGUUGAUUUGCGGAAGUGAGCACGCCUUUCCAACAGCUGACAACUUAGUAGGCCUCGGUCGGUCUAGAAUCCACCUCAAACAUGAGACCUAUUAGUUCCUUUUGUGUCAAGUUCAAGGCUCCUUGUUUGUUUGAGAGAUUCGCUACCUCCUGGAAGCAUUUUUGUCUGUCAGGGACUUUGAAGAUUCUUGGCUUAUCGAUCGUUGGUCACCCGCUUCACUGGAGUUGCAUGUCCAUGCCAUGCCUGCUCUUCCGUCAUCGACCAAUAGAUGAAUAAAACCCUAACCCUAGCACUACCUGUCGGUCCCCUAUAGUCUCCCUUAGCAUUUCCUUUCAUGGUGGGCCCGCCACCAACUAUUCCUCUCCGUCCUUCCAUUGGUACUUUUUCUGCGGUGGAGCCUUUAUGCUUCAUUUGGCUUUCUACAAUGGUGGUUGUAUCCAGCUCAUAAGUCUCCUCUAUAUGUAGGAAGCCAAGAUGUUAGCUCUUCUUUUUUGAAGGAAAAUACGUUAGCUAAUGUACAAGUUUCAUUUGAAAGAAGUCUUGUCGCAUGUAAAUACGUCACUGUCGGUUCAAUAUCCGGCGUAUCUCGUUGUAGGGGUCCUAAGCUAGGCGUCUUGGAGCGAUGGUAACAUGGACACGGGGUUUUACCCAGCUUCGGGCUCUCUUGAUGAGAUAAUACCCUAGAUGCUGCUUUUGAUUGUAUUCAUAUGGGGUGUAGUACAGAGUACAUGUGUCUACCACGAGACUGUGGUAAUGAAUAUGAGAUUGUCUAUUGACUAGCCUGGCCUCGAUUUAUAUAACACACCGGAGGCCUAGCGUUUUAGGAGAGUCCUCGCCUUGGGCGCCAAGUCUUGUGGAGUCUUCCUUAUAUGCGGCAGGGGUUGUCCGAACUGGCCCAUGAGUAUACGGUCGGCCCAAUCCAACUGAUCGGGAGACGACGUGGUGUGUACCCCCUAGUCCAGGACACCGUCAGUCACUAAGAGUGCGAUACAUAUAGGUGCAUCCUUAGCGGAUGAUGCAAAUUUCAGCAGAUAUGAAUAGCUCCAGGUGGACCGAGCACACAAAGAAAUCAUGGACCAUAAACGAAUAAUUUCCAAAGAAACAAAGUCGCAAAAAGAGAGACGACAUUAUCUUCAUUAUGGAAAACCCUUAUAUUUUUAAACAUUGCUUUGCUCUUUGAUUAUUAACAGGAAUCUUUUUACUAAUAUAAUAACUGUUAAUCUUUAUAGAUAUGGAAUGUAUUUUGUUCAGUAGGUUUUAAUGAAUCAUAUCAGUUUUUGGUAUGUUAAAAUUAGAAGAAGUUCAUGCGCCUUCAAGGCAUGUCAUGGUGUGUUGUUCCACCUCAAACAGGGACAUACUACAUGGUUAUUCUCCCUGCAUAUAGCCCUCUUCGCAUGCUCUUCCUCUCUCUCUCUCUCUCUCUCUCUCCAUUGUAUAUUCCAGAACUGCUGACACUACUCCAUAAUGCCUAACUGGUGAAGGUCCAGAAACACCUAGCAGUGAUGGGUUCAACAUGCUCAGUAGUUUGUACUUAGUGGAGAAGUAACAAACCACUUAGAUGAACAUGUCCGCCAGUGAUGGUCAAAUCGAAAAAGAAAAUCGGGCCAUGGCCAGUCCAAAGCUAACACCUGCUAAUAAUGUGUAGUCUCCACUACUCGAACCUUCUUCUCCUCAAUAUAUUGCACCGUCUGAUGUUUGGAGAAGCCAUAGAGUUGGGGAUCCGAAUAGAGGAAACAAUGGUGGGGAGUGUCUUGAAGAAUAGGUAACGAGAAGCCGGACGGAGAAGGCCUCGACCAUGUUGCACCAUCAGCCCAUGAGCACUGACCUGUAUAUAUGGUGCAAGGACCGAGGCAGAAAUGAACACCAUCAUCGCCUGGGUGGCAGAGGGAGUUGGACCUGGGUGUUCCUCCUCUCGGACAAACUCAAUGAAUUCUUGGAGGCAGCACCCAUGCUAGAUUCUGCAGAGAUGACAACAUUUAGAGGAGGUGGAGGGCCAGCGCUAGGUUUGUUCCUCAUAGGGUUUAUUUUCGGGGAAGAAGGGGAAGGGUAUGACAUGAUGAGUGAUUAACAAGGGAAGUGUGUGUUUCUGUGGAGGACAAAUCAUGAAGACAAGUGUGCUAGUAGCUAGAGAAGGGACUAAUGAUAGCAGGAACGAAUAAUGAGCUUAAUGUGUGGGGCUACUAGUUUUAAGUUGUGAUCUAAAUGACAGGGUAAGUAUUUAGUCACUAUCGUGUUGUGACUUGGGCUUGUAAGUGGUGGGUUGUAUAUGAGUAACAAGUAGCAUGUUUAGCCUCAAUAUUGUUCUCUGUCACUGGUAACAAUGUAUCAUUGAUGGACCACAUAUUGGGCCCGUCACUACUAACUUUUUUCAACAAAAAUAGAUUUUUAGUUAUCGUCAGAUUCAUGGCAAACCCGCCGUCCAUUACUUCUAAGUAGCACUACUGAUGGGUUGUGUGACCCACCACUAUUGAUCAAUAACUAGAGGAUAACUCAAGCAUAGUGCACAUCCGUUUCUUUGAGAUUUUGUUAGUGUUUUCUUGUUCAUGGAGACAUAUCAAUUGACCCUAACAAGUGUUCUAUUUAGGUGGGGUUGUGAGUGAAAAUGCGGGGAGCUUGGCAGCAGGGAAAAUGGCACCUAGAGGGGCUCAUGUCUCCAUGAUGAACAACCACAACUUUGAUUUGAAUGAGCUACCGAUUGAACAUGAGCAGCUCCAGCAGGAGCAGCCGCCCAAAGAGCAGGAUUAGCCGCCUGUGGCACAACAUGAGCUUUAAUAUUCACAAAUGGCUGGAGCCUGCUCAAAUCCACAUCUAUGAGUAAAAUAACUCUUCGCCAGAAGCAUAGCCCUAUUGGAAAUUAUCAAAAAUAUCUCUAUCCCGAGGAUAAUGGGAAGGCUUGUAUGGAACUUUUGAAUUUCCCUCUUCCUACUUUUUGCGAUUGACUAUCAUUAUUGCUAAACAUGAGGGGGGGAUUUGGUAUACUGCCUCAUGAUCACCCUAUCCACUUGAAAUGGAUUUUCUAUUCAUUUCCCAUGAUGGUUUUGAUAUCUCGAUUGUUUCAACAAGAAUAUAUUCAUUCGGUAAAGCUUUGUGAAACAUUAGCGAUGGAGCUAGGUCUCGGGUCAUGUGAAAAGACAGUAGGUCAAGAAGUGUGUUAGCUCAUGAGAUAAUAUAUUUUUGAAGUUGUUCAUCAUGUGUGUUGACACAAUGGGUCGUACGAGAGAAGGUUGGCAUGAAUCUUUGGGUUUGAAAUGAGUUGUCUAAUUGGACCUUCAUGACUGAAAAAAGGGAGAAAACAUGGCUAAUAGGAGGCGCAAAUGAUAUGGAAGCUACUUUUUGGAUGGAAGUUAACUAUGGCUAUGCGACCACACAAGAUGUCAGUGGAACCGCGUCCUUACAUAUCGAGGUUGACUUCAUGUGCAAGCUGUAUUGUGACUAAAUUAUGGUAUAUGUAUGCAAUAACUUGGCAUCUUACCAAACACAAAACACCCCAAAAAAUACUAUUUACUUCUCUUCGAUGCAUAUUCUAGUGGAAGGGUAGUCAUAACCAUAUGGGGAUAUUUUUGCACAGUAGAAUCUAUAAUGGUCUAGUGAGGAAAGGUGUAAAUGGAGAGGAUAAUAGGCGAACAUGGAAACAUCCAACAUUGUGUUGUACUUGUAUCUAGUUGUAUAGUGAGAUAAUAUGGAAACGGAGGAGGCUCAUAGGGCAACACGAGAACACCCAACAUGUUGCUCUACUUCCUUCCUAUUGGUACCAAGAGACUGAGACUAGAGAAAGGUUAAUCAUAACACAUGGACAAGAUCUCUUAUACAAGUUGAAAAUGGACCGAAUCUUGUAUGAAAAUGCUAACCAAGUAUGAGUGUGCAUAACAUACCAUUUCCUCCCUUUCUUUGUUGUAUUUUCCUUCACCAACCCCAUAGUACCCUAAUCGACACUAUUAAUUCGAUAUGCUUCUCAUCUGAGUUAGGUAGACUUAUUCAAGGGGAGGAAAUGGAGGUGUCUUAUCUAAAAUAGCCACAUUCCGGAUAGGAAUAAAAAAGUAGACAUAACCUAAUGAUUUGUUGAGAUUUGAAUCGAGAAUUCAACAUACAUCAACUAUCCUACAUGUAAAUCAAAUCCUCAUCCUACAUCGGCAUUGGGCUUUAGUUGGACUACCACUUUAUGGACAAGCCGUAUGGUCCAUGUGGUCUACGUCACAAGGCCGGAGAACAAGGAGCAAAUAGUUGUGGAUGUUUGGUAAUUGAAGUUAUUUGUCAAGAAAUUUGUUUCCCGUCAUGGUUUUUUUAAUUCAUUAUUUAGUAUUUGGUAUCGGUUCUAUGCUCUAAUGUGUAACCUUCUUCUGAUGGUUUGGGUUUAGCUGUCGGUGGUCAUGAGUUCAUUACUUAUGUUAACUACUAUUGUUGUGUCCACUUGUUCGCCAAGAGACUAUAAAGUUAACUUAUAUCCUCCCGUAUCUCUGUUAAUAUAGUUGGCGGUGAGGUAAUCAUUAACCCUGAAUAUUACUCACCUUUGUCAAAUAGUAGGCCAAGCUGGAACUGUCUGGUGCAUCAUCUAUGGUCACAUAUGGUGUAUUGCCUAUUCUAAACUCAAUGAGUAUUACAUAAUGGCAUGUGCUUGCAGGGAGGAAUGAGUCACUCUUUUGUGUCAAGGGGAGACGGCAUGCGUAAUAAUUGACAAUGAAAAAUUAACAACCUACAUCAAAAGUCUAACCCAAGACAAUGAAUAUGUGCCAUUGUAAUUUUACCACACUAAGUCAUCGGUAUUUCAUAAUCGAAUGUUCCCGAUGUCGUGACUUUUGGCGGUGAUAAGCCCAAAUAAUCGCCAUUGUGAAAUUAAAUUCUUCCGUUCACUUGAACCCACAUCCGUAAAGAUGUGCCAUUACAAUCCACGUCAUGGCUAUCUUGGAGUCCUUAAUAUAAUCAAGUGUGCCAAAUAUGGUGACUUGAUAAUCACGUAUACUAAUGGGGAGGAGCGAGGUCACAUUUUUUGCCAUGCAGACAUGAUAUUCCGUACUAAUUGACCCUAGGAAGCUAAUCGCCUCCAUCAAGUAGACCCCUUCCUGGUUCUCCUAUAUCUGGAUUCCCCGAAACCACGAAAAUCCUUAGAAUUGGAUUACAACUUAGCACCUUGUGUUUUCACAUAGUAAGAAGAUUUGCUCCUUGGAGAGCACGGUAUGAUGAAAGUUGUAACCUGUGUUUCCGAGGGAGUUAUUGUCUCGCAACUUUGUUAUCAACUAUUCCGAUUCCAGCAAACGGAGGCCAUUGGGUCAAAGCCAUAGCGCACGCCUUGUAGUUUUGAAGUGGGGCGAGACAACUUUAGCUAGGAACCUAUUUUCCUUCUGACCAACUCCCUAAAAACAAUGUUCGACUUCAUGUGUAGUCGGUGUAGAUGUGUCAUUGCAAUUCCACCACUAGGAUAUCACCAUGUCCUAUGUAUUACAUGCCAACAUAUGCCACCAUAUGGUGACUUGAUAAAUUAAAUGCAUUUCACCAAGCUUUUCUGUUCCAAUUAUGGUGAAGAUAGUGACUCACAUGUCAGCCUCCCUAACGGGAAGCAAAAUCACUCUGACUUUGGCAACCUAAUUUUUUUAUGGAUUCAAGCAAGCAUGUUGGAUUUGUGUAUUGUUUAUUUCCACAUAUAUGAUUCAAAAUAAAGGAAUCAAUUCAGAAUAGGAGUCUUGGAGACACCCAUGUCAAUAAUGUGAAAUUAUGGGAAAUCUUAUUAUGUGCAUCAAAAUAGGCCAAAACUCCUGGCUUAAGAGAUACGUGUACAAUCAUACAAUGGUUAUGACCCCUACUAAAUUCAUGAUGUUAACCAGUUCCCAGAAGUUUAAGUUGAGAAACAAGUUUGGGCAACAUAUUUCCAGACACCUGUCAUGUCUAGGAUUGUCUGAAGCCUAGGUAAGAUUAGUUAUGGGAUCAAUGCAGGCUAUUAGUACAUUGACUCGGUUCUUAACUCAAGUCCUCCUUGCUUGAUACCAUAUUGAAUGGCAAGUACAUCAUCAAUUUACUUAAGUGGGUGAACAAUGUUGGCUAGUAUAUUCCAACACUCACCUCACAUGCAUUUUUUAGGGGCAUAUAAUGCAUCGUGAUGGAUACAUUCUUUCUAAAGACUAAAUUCCAAUGGAAAAUUCAAAUUAAUUUAGUAGCAAUCUCGUAUGGCAAGGGUAUAUGGUAAAUGAAAAGGAGGGCUCAAAUGCUACUUGUUGGCACACACAAGUCAAGUUGUCUUUUAGCUCCCAUGUUGAUCCUCCAUGGUUCGACAUUGGGCAUUACACAGAGAACGAGUUAUCUUUACGCACUAACUAGAGCUACCAGACCAUGGAUGUUCCACCGUGAAUGUCCAUAUGGUGCAAUGAGUGAUAGCGGGGUAUAUUAGAACAUACAGUAUACACCGUUAAAGUAAUUAAAUGUGCUACUUUGCCUACUAUGACAAAAUAGUAUUUUUAAGAGAAAACUACGCAAGAGUUUGUGAUCUUUGUAUGUAAAAGCAUUAUUUGCCUUUGCUUGGUGUUCACGCAGUUUGAUUUAUGGCAAAAAUGGAAAAUCAUGGGACAAUAAUUGUUGAUAUUCUUUGUGGGAAAGCUAGAACUUUUCACUUUUCAGAUCACGCAAAGUAUUGUUUUCUUAUAGGGGUGAUAUACAGGGUUCUAAAUCUGCAUUUGUGAUUUGUUGUCCAUUUAAAUUUGUUUCUUCCAUAGAUUAUGUUGGUUUGUUGCUGUAUUUAUCUCAGCACUGAAGUAUACUGAUGUUAGCUAAGUCCAAUCAAAGGCCGAUGUUUCUAUCAUGUUAUACAAAUUAGUAAGCUAAGUACUGACCAAACUCAAGUUACAGAAGCCCAGACUACGUGAAAUGCACAUCAUGCAGUACACAUGUUCAUCUUAGUGUUAUGUUAUACUUGGCUCCCAGAUAACAAAUGGUGUCAGUUACUACUAUCUUUUGCAGCUUGUUUCUGCCUGUUCAUCGUAGAAUUAUCUUAUGUAGUCUCCCAAGGUUCAUGCAACUUGGAUUUUCAUACAUUGGUAGCAUUAGUGUUCACUGGGACUAGAUGCCACUCUGUAGAAGCUGGGGAUACAGAUGGAGAAAGUAGUCAUGGUUUUUUUUUCAAAAAGUUUGUUCAUAUCUAUAACAGGUUUAUUAAUUUUUAGCGUACAGUGUUGUGAAACCUAGAGUGUUUUAUCUCAUUAAACAUUGAACUACGCUUUCAAGGGAAAAACCUUCAUUUGACAUCGAACUAUGCAUGCAGGGCAAACACUCCGUGCAUCGGUGCCACCGCGCCGCGAACCUUGGGAGCUUGAACCUGGAUGGGUGUGAACUUAUGUUGUCAAGGUUUAGGGUCAGUCUUGGAUAGAGAAUAAAGGGGACUUUGCGAAACUGUUAUUAAUAAUAUGUAUGAAACAUUGCCUUGGGGAGAGAAUAAGAGAUUUCGAGAGAUAUUUACAAAUGGAUGCAUGCUUGCAAUAGCAGUACAAAAUAUGAUGCUAACAUUUUAUUUUCAUUGUUCUUCCCAUUAAACUUCUCGUGGUGGCUCCAUUAUUCACAGCCUCGCACAUGAAAAUGUUAU
RNAcentral lists this long non-coding RNA (14980 nucleotides) under Triticum aestivum (bread wheat). RNAcentral describes it as "long non-coding RNA (TAES_LNC018619)". Lineage: Eukaryota; Viridiplantae; Streptophyta; Magnoliopsida; Poales; Poaceae. The record is from RNAcentral.